Molecule: long non-coding RNA, 3372 nt
Filed under: Daphnia magna
Lineage: Eukaryota; Metazoa; Arthropoda; Branchiopoda; Diplostraca; Daphniidae
Description: uncharacterized LOC116929337, transcript variant X1
Source: RNAcentral
CCUGCAACUAAAAACAGAAAUGAAAAUUAACGAGAAAUUUGGUAGGUUUACAAAACUUCUGGCUUACCUCCGUAUCCGAGACCAUGUCCGUAACCCAAACCAUAACCUUUAAAGGUAAGACCGCAAAAUUACAUAACGUUAUUUUUGAAAUUCUCUGAAAUUUAUCGGGAAAAAUUCAAACCUCCGUAACCGGCUCCAUAAAGAGCUCCAUGGCCAGCUCCGUAACCAGCUCCAUAGCCAGCUCCAUAGCCAUAUCCUAGUCCACCAUAUCCAGCACCGUACAGUCCGUUUCCGUACAAUCCAUUUCCAUAGCCCAAGUCCAGCGUAACCGAGUCCACCAUAACCUCCAUACGCUCCGAGGGUACCCUCGGCCGUUUGCAGAUCCUUACCGGUGUCAGAAUCGGUGGCGGCUGCUUGUUGCUCGACGGCUUCAUUUUGCUCUUCGGCGGCCAUGGCAAAAACAAUGCACGCAGCGGCAAUGAAAACCUAUGAAUAAAAUAUUGAGCAAUCAGAAUUUUCACCAUACAGGCGUUUAUAUACUUCAGUGAAAGUCUAAACGAUUGACAGAAAAAUCGCAUUUAAGCAUAGACUGUAUUCACACAACAAAUAGAGUGAAAGGUGUGCAAUUCGGUUUUGUUUUAAAUUUCCACAAAGAUAGGCGAACAACAGAUCUUUUCAUUUGAGUUAGUCGACCGUGUAAGCGUUCGACUAAUAUUGGAUUUAGGGUGGAGAAAAUGACGAUGGGUGAAAGGAAAAAACAGCUGCCAGCCCGUUAGAAAAUAAACUGAAUUGAAGAUCGGAACCUCUAUCAAUAGGUGAUAUGUUUAACAAUCAAAUGAUACAUCGCUCGUGUAUUUCUUAUCCUGUAUUAAGGUAAGAGUAGUCGGAAAUCGACUUAAAAUUCCAGUGGCAGAAAAGUAAUGGUCAACUUCUCUCUGAAGAAUUCGUUGUGAAACUAAUGGAUAUGAAUGGGUGCAAGAAAGGAGGAUAAAUUAUGAUCAACAGAGGAAAAGUUGUUCCUUUACUUAUGUAUUGAAUAAUAACACCGUCGUUACACAAAAAUUGGUGGUGCAAAUGCUUCUAUCGCAUGCGGAUUGACUUUACAUCACCACACAUCUUUUUAGUGGUCUGAAUUGAAUACGAGAGAACAAAUUCUAACGAUUAAGGUAUGCUUCUAUUCCAUUGUAUUCGUGUUCAAUAAGUUCAGUCUACCGUUGUUGAUAUGAGUAAAUAUUACUAUACAGAUCUAUAAAAUGAGUAAUAGGAAUGAUGUUAAUAAGCAAGUCCGUGAUGGCCGUAUCCAUGAGCAUGGCCAUGUCCAAGAGCGUGGGCGUUGCUGUGGCUCUUUGAUCCAUGGCUGAUCACUUUGUUGAUGCUCGUAUAACCGGAAUUGGCGUGGUUGUGUCCGUGGUUGUGUCCAUAGUUGGAUCCGUAACCAGCUCCAUAACCUAUGAUAACACGAUAGCGUUAAAAUACGUCUCCAAUUAAAGGUGAGACCUAAAAUGAGUUUGUUUACCUCCGUAUCCAAGGCCAUGUCCACCAUAACCGAGUCCUAAACCGUAACCUUUUUUUUUAAAUUAACAUAUUAGUUUUAAUGUGAUUUAUUAAAAUUUACAAAGUAUCCAUUUAUGAUUCAAACCUCCGUAACCAGCUCCAUGACCGUAUCCAUGUCCACCAUAUCCAGCGCCAUAAAGUCCGUUACCGUACAAUCCAUUGCCAUAGCCAAGUCCGCCGUAUCCGAGUCCGCCGUAACCAAGUCCACCAUAACCUCCGUACACUCCCAGGGUACCCUCGGCCGUUUGCAGAUCCUUGCCACUUUCGGAGUCAGUGACGGCCACUUGUUGCUCGACGGCUUCCCUUUUGCUCUUCAGCAGCCAUGACGAAAACGAUGCAUGUAACAGCAAUCAAGACCUUUGAGUAGUAAAAGAAAGUUAAAAAAUUAUUAGUAAUUAGCGCAAUGAUUUGUCAUAAUUCUAAUUGGUGAUUAUUUUUACUUUUAGUUGCAAAUGGAUUUACCUUGAAGGCGAUCAUCUUUAAUUGAGAUAGGAGCUUUGUACUGGAACACUUUGAAUUUCAGUUGGAGUGUGAAUUUGACAUCGAUCGUCACUGUUUAUAUACUUUGGUGAAAGCCAUGGUAUUUGACCGAGAAGUCGUGUUAAAGCAUGUCGAAUGGUGAUAAACAAUUACUGUGUAAGCAAAGUGAAAGGUUUACCGAUUGAAUUGAUCAUAGACAUGCACAACAGAGGAGGUAAAUAGGUAAUCCUUUCUUUCGAUGCACUAGACCAUAACAACAUAAUAAGUUUAGUGAUAGUAGCAAGUGAUAGUUAAUUUUAUUUGCAGGAACUCGAUCAAGAUAAAGGAAUAAGUUUUGUUUGAAUACAUCAUUUUCUUUUUUUACGAAAAGAAAAGAGGAUUUUGAGCCGUGCCAUUUGUUGUACUUUUGCCUUUGGCAAUUUUUCAGAAGGUAAGAACGUCAAGGUGUCUUCGUUGCCCAGCCCUUUCUUGUGAUCAUUACCAUUUUACAGAAUACCAAUGAAAAAAUGAUAGAUUCAUGUCAAGUUCAACUAGAAUGAGUACCUUGCACUAGACAAACCUGUUGUAUGGAUUUUGCGAAUAGUGUAGUAUCUUAAUCGGAGCUAUACGUGUAUUAGUAUUAUGCAGUUGCAUGAAUUUCAUUGAAAUCGAUAUCCAAAUAGCCUUCUUAUUAUUCGUGAGGUGACGAGAAAAAACCAAUGCUCUUACGAACAUGAGGAACUGUUUAUUCGUAUAACAACAAAGGUAUAACAAAGGUUAUGUUGAAAGCGUGUUAGUUAAAUAUAUAGCGGUAGUAUAAAUUUGAAAUGAAAAUAAGGUAUAAGCCUAUGGCUAUUGAAUAAGAAAAUUUCAAUUUUGGUUGUGUGAUCACGUUUCUGCGUGCACAAGUCUUUUUUAACUCUAGAAACCAAUAACGACGAACAUCCACAGCUAAACUUGGAUGUUUGUCGUAAAAUCUUUCAAAAGUUAGCAACGUCUAUUAGUCAAAGUAUAAUAUAAAAUAAAAAAGGAUGUUGAUUAUAAGUAAAUUUAAAAAAUGUGAAGAGCAGUAAGACUACGUUAGUUACGACUUGCAAAUAUGCCAAUAGCACUUGAAGUUUGAUUGAAACCUGGCCGUCCUUUUUAACUGAAUAUCAUCACAGAAUAAUUUUCGUGCAAGUCACUAGUUUUAGGCAUUCAGAAAUAUGUGGUUAGGUACUGCGUGUGAAGAUGAAAAGUCGAAUUCUACAAACAGGGAAAUACUGAAAGACAAUUAGAAAAUAGCGAUGUGAUAAUGUAAACGAUAAAUUCAGUUGAUGAAAUUAAUUUUGUGUAGAGUUUACGUUUACUAAUAAAGUU